GAUGAACGCUGGCGGCGUGCCUAAUACAUGCAAGUCGAGCGAACGGACGAGAAGCUUGCUUCUCUGAUGUUAGCGGCGGACAGGUGAGUAACACGUGGAUAACCUACCUAUAAGACUGGGAUAACUUCGGGAAACCGGAGCUAAUACCGGAUAAUAUUUUGAACCGCAUGGUUCAAAAGUAAAAGACGGUCUUGCUGUCACUUAUAGAUGGAUCCGCGCUGCAUUAGCUAGUUGGUAAGGUAACGGCUUACCAAGGCAACGAUGCAUAGCCGACCUGAGAGGGUGAUCGGCCACACUGGAACUGAGACACGGUCCAGACUCCUACGGGAGGCAGCAGUAGGGAAUCUUCCGCAAUGGGCGAAAGCCUGACGGAGCAACGCCGCGUGAGUGAUGAAGGUCUUCGGAUCGUAAAACUCUGUUAUUAGGGAAGAACAUAUGUGUAAGUAACUGUGCACAUCUUGACGGUACCUAAUCAGAAAGCCACGGCUAACUACGUG
Molecule: ribosomal RNA, 497 nt
Filed under: uncultured bacterium
Lineage: Bacteria
Description: partial 16S ribosomal RNA
Rfam family: Bacterial small subunit ribosomal RNA
Source: RNAcentral